AUUACAGUAAUUAUCCGUAUUACCCCGUGUCGAGCACGCAUCCUGCAUCUAUAUAUAAGUUUCAGGAUGUCGAUGAUGCGGGUAACAUGAUCUAGAACAGACACUUGUUCUAGACGGAGAUACGCGCAUUGCGAGUUAGACUGCGGAGAUUGCAGGUGAUAUAUACGCACACUACACGACCAGCUACGUAUUUUCAGCUACCCAGCCAGGCGAGAGGAAAAUAGUGUUAUCGACGGAGACCACAUUGAAGAGAGAAAGGAUCCAGAUAUCGAACACAUCGCUUCUACCCAGCAACGAUGGCGAGGCUAGCACUAGCACUGUGCUGCAUCGUUCUCAGUCUAGCAUGGAGGUCUCAUGCCGCUGACGACGCCGCAACGUUCUCCGGCAGUUUAGGAGGAUCUGGAUCGGAUACAGCGCCAUCCGGAUCGAAUGCAGCGCCGCCUGCAUCCGGAUCGGAUGCAGCACCGCGACGAGCAACCAAAAGUCGCAAGCCUGCGCUAGGCUAGUAGAGAAUAUUGUUAAAUAAUUGUUCAUGUAAAAACUGUCGCUAUAUACGUGUAUCCUUGCGGAAAUAGUUCCCGCAUAUUAAUCACAGAACGGCUGGACCACACUGUGCUCUCCUCGCUCUGCUGUUACAAGCAAACCUGUAUACUAGUGGACCUGUAUAAAACAAACGCUUAUUCGUAAAAUAAUUCUUUUAAUUGUUAUGUACGAAGAUGUAAUAGCAGUAGUAUUUGGCUGUAUAGUACUAUAGCGGUAGAGAUUCCGCCCCCAUCAUCUCUGAGGUCAAUUCAGACUGUAUUGCGAUAUUUUGAGUCGAACGCAUAUUCUAAUGAACGUGACAUUUCUGCCGUGUCCCUCCUACAAUCUCGCAUGGAUUCACUGAUUUCGGAAUGUUCUAAACAGAAGUCAAUUUCAGACUUUUUUAUGAAAGAUUGAACCCCAGACUAUCAAAAUACUGCACGCAAACUUAAAUUUACAUCCGGACUAACGAAAACACGGAAACAACCAUGACACUAUAAUAUUUUUAUUUCAAUAGUAAUUCAGUUAUAAAACAAAGAAAUUUUGUUAAUAUAAUUUUUAUUUGUCAUGUGAUUUUUGUUUAUAAUAAUAUAUCAUCUAUUUUGAUUGGUUUUCUAGCAACUGGAGGCUAUUUAGUGGUGAUAUUAAACUGCAAUCUCAAUACCUCGUUACAAUGCCAAUAUUUCCCAAGUCCCGAUGGUGGCGGUAUAACGAGGUUUUACUGUAAUAUGGAUAAUUUAGCAGGUAAUAAAUGAAUUAGUAAAAAAGACA
Molecule: long non-coding RNA, 1293 nt
Organism: Priapulus caudatus
Lineage: Eukaryota; Metazoa; Priapulida; Priapulimorpha; Priapulimorphida; Priapulidae
Exons: 2
Source: RefSeq, a predicted model, not a curated record